GUGCUCGCUUCAGCAGCACAUAUACAAAAAUUGGAAGGAUACAGAAAAGAUUGGCAUGGCCCCUGUGCUAAGAUAACAUGCAAAUUCGUGAAGCGUUCCAUAGUUUU
This 107-nucleotide small nuclear RNA is filed under the name Castor canadensis (American beaver). The record is from RNAcentral. Lineage: Eukaryota; Metazoa; Chordata; Mammalia; Rodentia; Castoridae.